This 1157-nucleotide long non-coding RNA is filed under the name Ficedula albicollis (Collared flycatcher). RNAcentral's name for it is "lncRNA (ENSFALG00000025615.1)". The record is from RNAcentral. Lineage: Eukaryota; Metazoa; Chordata; Aves; Passeriformes; Muscicapidae.
UCCAACAGGCUUUGGAGCACACACAGGCAGGCAGGGAACAUUCACCUGCACAGCCAGCUGUGGGAAACUCUGAGCUAACAGCAGCAUCUUUUGGAGGUGUCAUCCCACUGCUGGCUGCUGCCUGGGAGCUGAGGGGAGCGGUGGAGGGGUUCCAAGCAUGGAUACCCUGCCUUGGGAAUUACCACACCAGGCACUGCACAGCACUGAUCCAGCUCUGCACUUCCAGACCCAUUUUUCACCUCUUUCACCUGGGCCCUGGUGCAGCAGAUGGGCAACACCCUACAUCCAACACCAGAAAGACUCUGUGCAGGGUGGACAACUGCACCAGAAUGCAGCUACAUGGAAGGACCAGGAAGAUUUAUCUACCCGCAUAGGUGAUGCUGGAAGAAAACAAGAGCAACAUCUGGUCCUGCCAAGCAUCUGGCCAAGGGAAUGGGCAUAAAAAUGCCAGUUUAACUUUCAUCUAGUACUGCCAAUAAAUACUGCUGUCAGACCAUAUAGUCAUCUGCCACUAACUCAGUAUUUCAAAGGUGUUUUUCUUUAUCAGAAAGGCCAUUAGAUGUCAGAAAUCAUUUCAUCAAUAGCACUGUUUGGAAGCAAGGCAAGGGCAAGUUCUUAAGGAAGCAUCUUUGUCUCAGAGGUUAAAACAGUAACAUAAAGAAAACAAAUAGUAAGUGACAUAUUAGCCAUCUCAUUCAAAAGCAUCCAAAUUAAUGUCAAUGUCAGGGAGUUAAAUUAUAGAUAUUUAUUCAUGAUGUUAUCAAAACUUCCUAUAUGCUACAAGAAACACAAAACUAAUAUUUUCUGAAAAUGUCACACAGAACUAAACUGUUCCUUCAGACAAAUGUAAUUGAAUGCCUUAUCCUAGCAACCAUCAUGCUCACUAUCAAUGUUCAUCCUUGUAGGGAAGAUCAGGUGAGACAGCAGUUUUACUGGCCUUGGUCCUACACCAGUCCCCAGGGCUCUUCCAUCAACCUGGCAUUUAUCCAAAUCCUGUCUGGGGGAGGGGGGCCUCUAGUUCAGUAUUUCCUUUGAAACUCUCACAUUUGGAUGUCCUCAUUUUAGCUCUCAGAGCUGAGGAGUACAAGAGACAAGGGAGGCCGGUGGCAUAACCUCUGUCACCUCUGUUAGACACUGUCACCACCAUUGUCUCAAAG